UUGCUCCCUUCAGCAGCACAUAUACUAAAAUUGGAAUAAUGCAGAGAAGAUUAACAUGGCCCCUGUGAAAGGAUGACAUGCAAAUUUGUGAAGUGUUCCAUAUUUCA
Molecule: small nuclear RNA, 107 nt
Organism: Peromyscus eremicus (cactus mouse)
Lineage: Eukaryota; Metazoa; Chordata; Mammalia; Rodentia; Cricetidae
Source: RefSeq, a predicted model, not a curated record